UCACCUACGGGUGGGCAGCAGUGGGGAAUAUUGCACAAUGGGCGCAAGCCUGAUGCAGCCAUGCCGCGUGUAUGAAGAAGGCCUUCGGGUUGUAAAGUACUUUCAGCGGGGAGGAAGGUGUUGUGGUUAAUAACCACAGCAAUUGACGUUACCCGCAGCAGAAGCACCGGCUAACUCCGUGCCAGCAGCCGCGGUAAUACGGAGGGUGCAAGCGUUAAUCGGAAUUACUGGGCGUAAAGCGCACGCAGGCGGUCUGUCAAGUCGGAUGUGAAAGCCCCGGGCUCAACCUGGGAACUGCAUUCGAAACUGGCAGGCUAGAGUCUUGUAGAGGGGGGUAGAAUUCCAGGUGUAGCGGUGAAAUGCGUAGAGAUCUGGAGGAAUACCGGUGGCGAAGGCGGCCCCCUGGACAAAGACUGACGCUCAGGUGCGAAAGCGUGGGGAGCAAACAGGAUUAGAUACCCGAGUAGUCAG
RNAcentral lists this ribosomal RNA (471 nucleotides) under uncultured bacterium. RNAcentral's name for it is "bacterial SSU rRNA". It matches the Rfam family "Bacterial small subunit ribosomal RNA", at positions 335 to 797 of the family's 1533-position model. The record is from RNAcentral.